RNAcentral lists this ribosomal RNA (253 nucleotides) under uncultured bacterium. RNAcentral describes it as "partial 16S ribosomal RNA". It matches the Rfam family "Bacterial small subunit ribosomal RNA", at positions 524 to 776 of the family's 1533-position model. The record is from RNAcentral.
UACGUAGGUGACAAGCGUUGUCCGGAUUUACUGGGUGUAAAGGGCGCGUAGGCGGGAUAGCAAGUCAGUCGUGAAAUGCCGAGGCUUAACCUCGGAGCUGCGAUUGAAACUGUUAUUCUUGAGUAUCGGAGAGGAAAGCGGAAUUCCUAGUGUAGCGGUGAAAUGCGUAGAUAUUAGGAGGAACACCAGUGGCGAAGGCGGCCUUCUGGACGACAACUGACGCUGAGGCGCGAAAGUGUGGGGAGCAAACAGG